UGGGGGAUAUUGCACAAUGGGGGGAACCCUGAUGCAGCGACGCCGCGUGAGCGAUGAAGUAUUUCGGUAUGUAAAGCUCUGUCAGCAGGGAAGAAAAUGACGGUACCUGACCAAGAAGCCCCGGCUAACUACGUGCC
Molecule: ribosomal RNA, 137 nt
Filed under: uncultured bacterium
Lineage: Bacteria
Description: partial 16S ribosomal RNA
Rfam family: Bacterial small subunit ribosomal RNA
Source: RNAcentral